RNAcentral lists this ribosomal RNA (259 nucleotides) under Morganella morganii. RNAcentral describes it as "partial 23S ribosomal RNA". It matches the Rfam family "Bacterial large subunit ribosomal RNA", at positions 769 to 1025 of the family's 2925-position model. Lineage: Bacteria; Pseudomonadati; Pseudomonadota; Gammaproteobacteria; Enterobacterales; Morganellaceae. The record is from RNAcentral.
GAGGACCGAACCGACUAAUGUUGAAAAAUUAGCGGAUGACUUGUGGCUGGGGGUGAAAGGCCAAUCAAACCGGGAGAUAGCUGGUUCUCCCCGAAAGCUAUUUAGGUAGCGCCUCGUGAACUCAUCUCCGGGGGUAGAGCACUGUUUCGGCUAGGGGGUCAUCCCGACUUACCAACCCGAUGCAAACUGCGAAUACCGGAGAAUGUUAUCACGGGAGACACACGGCGGGUGCUAACGUUCGUCGUGAAGAGGGAAACAA